UAGUCUGGGAUACCACUUGGAAACAGGUGCUAAUACCGGAUAAGAAAGCGGAUCGCAUGAUCAGCUUUUAAAAGGCGGCGUAAGCUGUCGCUAUGGGAUGGCCCCGCGGUGCAUUAGCUAGUUGGUAAGGUAAAGGCUUACCAAGGCGAUGAUGCAUAGCCGAGUUGAGAGACUGAUCGGCCACAUUGGGACUGAGACACGGCCCAAACUCCUACGGGAGGCAGCAGAG
This 229-nucleotide ribosomal RNA is filed under the name uncultured Lactobacillus sp. RNAcentral describes it as "partial 16S ribosomal RNA". It matches the Rfam family "Bacterial small subunit ribosomal RNA", at positions 134 to 354 of the family's 1533-position model. Lineage: Bacteria; Bacillati; Bacillota; Bacilli; Lactobacillales; Lactobacillaceae. The record is from RNAcentral.